This 169-nucleotide non-coding RNA is filed under the name Zelostemma sp. ZL-2020. Lineage: Eukaryota; Metazoa; Arthropoda; Insecta; Hymenoptera; Platygastridae. The record is from RNAcentral.
AAAACUAUGAUGAUUCUUAGGAGCGUGGGAACUACAUUACAGAUAGGGCGAUCUUUUGAUGCGGUAAUGUAGUAAUCCUAACCGCAUAUACGUGGUAACAUUCUUUCAUGUUUCUUCCCCCCUUGAUUCAUGUCAAAAACGGAAGGGGGCGCCUGCGUCUCUUAUUUUU